This 166-nucleotide unclassified non-coding RNA is filed under the name soil metagenome. RNAcentral describes it as "partial contains 5.8S ribosomal RNA, internal transcribed spacer 2, and large subunit ribosomal RNA". The record is from RNAcentral.
AACGCACGAGACCUGCGGACCUGCGGAGGGAUCAUUAGUGAACGCCCUCGCGGGCUUAUAACUAUUCCAAACCUCUGUGAACCGUGCCCUUCGGGGCUAUUUUACAAACAUGGUGUAAUGAACGUCAUAUAUCAUAACAAAACAAAACUUUCAGCAACGGAUCUCU